RNAcentral lists this ribosomal RNA (247 nucleotides) under uncultured bacterium. RNAcentral's name for it is "partial 16S ribosomal RNA". It matches the Rfam family "Bacterial small subunit ribosomal RNA", at positions 523 to 769 of the family's 1533-position model. The record is from RNAcentral.
AAACGUAGGAGGCUAGCGUUAUCCGGAUUUAUUGGGCGUAAAGCGCGUGCAGGCGGUCUGGUAAGUUGGAUGUGAAAGCUCCUGGCUUAACUGGGAGAGGUCGUUCAAUACUGUCAGACUAGAGAAUGGGAGAGGGAGGUGGAAUUCCCGGUGUAGUGGUGAAAUGCGUAGAUAUCGGGAGGAACACCAGUGGCGAAAGCGGCCUCCUGGGUCGCACCUGACGCUCAGACGCGAAAGCUAGGGGAGC